CGGCGGACGGGUGAGUAACGCGUGGGUAACCUGCCUCAUACAGGGGGAUAACAGUUAGAAAUGACUGCUAAUACCGCAUAAGCGCACAGGACCGCAUGGUCAAGUGUGAAAAACUCCGGUGGUAUGAGAUGGACCCGCGUCUGAUUAGUUAGUUGGUGGGGUAACGGCCCACCAAGGCGACGAUCAGUAGCCGGCCUGAGAGGGUGAACGGCCACAUUGGGACUGAGACACGGCCCAAACUCCUACGGGAGGCAGCAG
Molecule: ribosomal RNA, 258 nt
Filed under: uncultured bacterium
Lineage: Bacteria
Description: partial 16S ribosomal RNA
Rfam family: Bacterial small subunit ribosomal RNA
Source: RNAcentral